AGUGAACGCUGGCGGUAGGCCUAACACAUGCAAGUCGAACGGCAGCACAGUAAGAGCUUGCUCUUACGGGUGGCGAGUGGCGGACGGGUGAGGAAUACAUCGGAAUCUACUUUUUCGUGGGGGAUAACGUAGGGAAACUUACGCUAAUACCGCAUACGACCUACGGGUGAAAGCAGGGGAUCUUCGGACCUUGCGCGAUUGAAUGAGCCGAUGUCGGAUUUGCUAGUUGGCGGGGUAAAGGCCCACCAAGGCGACGAUCCGUAGCUGGUCUGAGAGGAUGAUCAGCCACACUGGAACUGAGACACGGUCCAGACUCCUACGGGAGGCAGCAGUGGGGAAUAUUGGACAAUGGGCGCAAGCCUGAUCCAGCCAUACCGCGUGGGUGAAGAAGGCCUUCGGGUUGUAAAGCCCUUUUGUUGGGAAAGAAAAGCAGCAGGUUAAUACCCCGCUGUUCCGACGGUACCCAAAGAAUAAGCACCGGCUAACUUCGUG
This 492-nucleotide ribosomal RNA is filed under the name uncultured bacterium. Its description in RNAcentral is "partial 16S ribosomal RNA". It matches the Rfam family "Bacterial small subunit ribosomal RNA", at positions 29 to 507 of the family's 1533-position model. The record is from RNAcentral.